UGGGGAAUUUUCCGCAAUGGGCGAAAGCCUGACGGAGCAAUACCGCGUGAGGGAGGAAGGCUUUUGGGUUGUAAACCUCUUUUCUCAAGGAAGAAGAUCUGACGGUACUUGAGGAAUCAGCAUCGGCUAACUCCGUGCCAGCAGCCGCGGUAAUACGGAGGAUGCAAGCGUUAUCCGGAAUGAUUGGGCGUAAAGCGUCUGCAGGUGGCUAUGCAAGUCUGCUGUUAAAGAGUGGAGCUCAACUCCAUAAGGGCAGUGGAAACUGCGUAACUAGAGUACGUUCGGGGUAGAGGGAAUUCCUGGUGUAGCGGUGAAAUGCGUAGAUAUCAGGAAGAACACCGGUGGCGAAAGCGCUCUACUAGGCCGUAACUGACACUGAGAGACGAAAGCUAAGGGAGCGAAUGGGAUUAGAUACCCCCGUAGUCC
RNAcentral lists this ribosomal RNA (426 nucleotides) under uncultured prokaryote. RNAcentral's name for it is "bacterial SSU rRNA". It matches the Rfam family "Bacterial small subunit ribosomal RNA", at positions 355 to 796 of the family's 1533-position model. The record is from RNAcentral.